UCGAGAAUAAUUCACAAUGGGGGCAACCCUGAUGGUGCAACGCCGCGUGGAGGAUGAAGGUCUUCGGAUUGUAAACUCCUGUCAUCCGGGAGUAAGACCUGACGGUGAAUAGCCGGCAGGGUUGAUAGUACCGGAAGAGGAAGGGACGGCUAACUUCGUGCCAGCAGCCGCGGUAAUACGAAGGUCCCGAGCGUUGUUCGGAAUCACUGGGCGUAAAGGGAGCGUAGGCGGCGCGGUAAGGCAGAUGUGAAAGCCCGGGGCUCAACCCCGGAACUGCAUCCGAUACUGCCGUGCUUUGAGGGUUGGAGAGGUAGCUGGAAUUCUUGGUGUAGCAGUGAAAUGCGUGGAUAUCAAGAGGAACACUCGUGGCGAAAGCGAGCUACUGGACAACACCUGACGCUGAGGCUCGAAGGCCAGGGGAGCGAAAG
Molecule: ribosomal RNA, 428 nt
Filed under: uncultured prokaryote
Description: bacterial SSU rRNA
Rfam family: Bacterial small subunit ribosomal RNA
Source: RNAcentral